This 149-nucleotide ribosomal RNA is filed under the name Verrucomicrobia bacterium 13_2_20CM_54_12. RNAcentral's name for it is "partial 23S ribosomal RNA". It matches the Rfam family "Bacterial large subunit ribosomal RNA", at positions 2768 to 2925 of the family's 2925-position model. Lineage: Bacteria; Pseudomonadati; Verrucomicrobiota. The record is from RNAcentral.
GCGCUGAAAGCAUCUAAGCGCCAAGCCUAUCCCAAGAUGAGAUCUCCCUGAAGGGUCGUGGUAGACCACCACGUUGAUAGGCUUCGGGUGUAAGCACAGUAAUGUGUUCAGCUCAGAAGUACUAAUAACCCGUUCGGCUUGAUCAUUUA